RNAcentral lists this ribosomal RNA (497 nucleotides) under uncultured bacterium. RNAcentral's name for it is "partial 16S ribosomal RNA". It matches the Rfam family "Bacterial small subunit ribosomal RNA", at positions 28 to 507 of the family's 1533-position model. The record is from RNAcentral.
GAUGAACGCUGGCGGCGUGCCUAAUACAUGCAAGUCGAGCGAACGGACGAGAAUCUUGCUUCUCUGAUGUUAGCGGCGGACGGGUGAGUAACACGUGGAUAACCUACCUAUAAGACUUGGAUAACUUCGGGAAACCGGAGCUAAUACCGGAUAAUAUUUUGAACCGCAUGGUUCAAAAGUGAAAUACGGUCUUGCUGUCACUUAUAGAUGGAUCCGCGCUGCAUUAGCUAGUUGGUAAGGUAACGGCUUACCAAGGCGACGAUGCAUAGCCGACCUGAGAGGGUGUACGGCGACACUGGAACUGGGACACGGUCCAGACUCCGAGGGGAGGCAGCAGCAGGGAAUCUUCCGAACUGGGGGAAAGCCUGCAGGAGCAACGCAGCGUGAGUGAUGAAGGUCUUCGGAUCGUAAAACUCUGUUAUUAGUGAAGAACAUAUGUGUAAGUAACUGUGCACAUCUUGACGGUACCUAAUCAGAAAGCCACGGCUAACUACGUG